CCUGGUGGCUCAGUGGUAAAGAGCCUGCCUGCCAAUGCAGGAGACCAGGGUUCGAUCCCUGGUCCAGGA
Molecule: transfer RNA, 69 nt
Filed under: Capra hircus (goat)
Lineage: Eukaryota; Metazoa; Chordata; Mammalia; Artiodactyla; Bovidae
Also listed under: 1 other name
Rfam family: tRNA
About the family: Transfer RNA (tRNA) molecules are approximately 80 nucleotides in length.
Source: Rfam by way of RNAcentral